GCUGGGCGCAGUGGCACAUGCCUGUAGUCCCAGCUACUCAGGAGGAUGAGGUGGGAGAAUCUCUUGAGCCCAGAACUUCUGGGCUGUAGUGCACUAUGCCAAUAAGGUGUCCCCACUAAGUUUGGCAUCAAUACAGUGACCUCCCGGGAGCGGGGAACAUCAGGUUGCCUAAGGAGGGGUGAACCAGCCCAGGUUGGAAACAGGGCAGGUCAAAACUCCUGUGCUGAUCAGUAGUGGGAUCACGCCUGUGAAUACUGCACUCCAGCCUGUGCAACAUAACGAGACCACGUCUCUU
Molecule: signal recognition particle RNA, 295 nt
Filed under: Callithrix jacchus (white-tufted-ear marmoset)
Lineage: Eukaryota; Metazoa; Chordata; Mammalia; Primates; Cebidae
Description: Metazoan signal recognition particle RNA (ENSCJAG00000061543.2)
Rfam family: Metazoan signal recognition particle RNA
About the family: The signal recognition particle (SRP) is a universally conserved ribonucleoprotein. It is involved in the co-translational targeting of proteins to membranes.
Source: Rfam by way of RNAcentral